AAUAUUGCACAAUGGGGGAAACCCUGAUGCAGCGACGCCGCGUGAGCGAAGAAGGCCUUCGGGUCGUAAAGCUCUGUCCUCAGGGAAGAAAGGGACGGUACUUAAGGAGGAAGCACCGGCCAACAACGAGCCAGCAGCCGCGGUAAUACUCAGGGGGCGAGCGUUAUCCGGAAUUACUGGGCGUAAAGGGUGCGUAGGCGGCCUUGUAAGUCAGAUGUGAAAGGCUACGGCUUAACCGUAGUUAGCAUUUGAAACUAAAAGGCUUGAGUGCAGGAGAGGAGAGUGGAAUUCCUAGUGUAGCGGUGAAAUGCGUAGAUAUUAGGAGGAACACCAGGGGCGAAGGCGACUCUCUGGACUGCAACUGACGCUGAGGCACGAAAGCGUGGGGAGCGAACA
This 396-nucleotide ribosomal RNA is filed under the name uncultured bacterium. RNAcentral's name for it is "partial 16S ribosomal RNA". It matches the Rfam family "Bacterial small subunit ribosomal RNA", at positions 360 to 774 of the family's 1533-position model. The record is from RNAcentral.